Molecule: non-coding RNA, 121 nt
Organism: Glycine soja
Lineage: Eukaryota; Viridiplantae; Streptophyta; Magnoliopsida; Fabales; Fabaceae
Source: Rfam
UUGUGAUUGGACGAUGACUGCCACAUGUCAUGUUCUGAUUGGAUGUUGACUCUAUGGACGAUGAAAAUGUAUUGUUGUUGUCAACAUCCAAUCAGAAUAUGACACAUGACAGUCAUCAUCC